Molecule: transfer-messenger RNA, 427 nt
Filed under: Parachlamydiaceae
Lineage: Bacteria; Pseudomonadati; Chlamydiota; Chlamydiia; Parachlamydiales
Also listed under: 1 other name
Description: JACCRY01 sp013817115 Standard tmRNA
Rfam family: transfer-messenger RNA
About the family: Bacterial tmRNA, also known as 10Sa RNA or SsrA, is named for its dual tRNA and mRNA-like properties. Its role is to liberate the mRNA from a stalled ribosome.
Source: RNAcentral
GGGGGUGUCACGGUUUCGACUUGGGAAUGAAGUCUUGAUUGCAUGCAGAGGUUUAUCGGUUGGCCUCUUAAAAAGCCGAUAAAAACAUUAAUUGCCAACCCUAAAGUUGACAACAGUCUCAUGAACAAGUUUGCUAGCAAACCUGCUUGCAAACCUAUUCGUUUGGCUGCAGCAGCUUAAGACCUAAUAGUCUUUCGCUGUACGUCAGUCCAGAACUUGACCAAGGGUUUUGGAGUCUGCCGAUAAGGUACUUGGUGUGAUUUAUUCUUCCGUCAGCUUCUAGGUGGGAUAGGUCGAGAUUAAAUGAAGCUAGCUUACCUUAGUGGCGUGUUCUGCAUCGAGGUGAGUCUAUUUCAGAACACUAAGCAUGUAGUGGUCAUUAUGUAGUUUGCUAAGGACGAGAGUUCAAUUCUCUCCACCUCCAACC